RNAcentral lists this non-coding RNA (30 nucleotides) under Rattus norvegicus (Norway rat). The record is from RNAcentral. Lineage: Eukaryota; Metazoa; Chordata; Mammalia; Rodentia; Muridae.
UUGGUGGCUUGAAGUUCAUAGAAACUAGAU